AUUGAACGCUGGCGGCAGGCCUAACACAUGCAAGUCGAACGGUAGCACGGAGAGCUUGCUCUCGGGUGACGAGUGGCGGACGGGUGAGUAACGUCUGGGAAACUGCCCGAUGGAGGGGGAUAACUACCGGAAACGGUAGCUAAUACCGCAUAACGUCGCAAGACCAAAGUGGGGGACCUUCGGGCCUCACACCAUCGGAUGUGCCCAGAUGGGAUUAGCUAGUAGGUGGGGUAAUGGCUCACCUAGGCGACGAUCCCUAGCUGGUCUGAGAGGAUGACCAGCCACACUGGAACUGAGACACGGUCCAGACUCCUACGGGAGGCAGCAGUGGGGAAUAUUGCACAAUGGGCGCAAGCCUGAUGCAGCCAUGCCGCGUGUAUGAAGAAGGCCUUCGGGUUGUAAAGUACUUUCAGCGGGGAGGAAGGCGGUGAAGUUAAUAGCUUCACCGAUUGACGUUACCCGCAGAAGAAGCACCGGCUAACUCCGUGCCAGCAGCCGCAGUAA
This 504-nucleotide ribosomal RNA is filed under the name uncultured bacterium. RNAcentral's name for it is "partial 16S ribosomal RNA". It matches the Rfam family "Bacterial small subunit ribosomal RNA", at positions 29 to 523 of the family's 1533-position model. The record is from RNAcentral.